This 253-nucleotide ribosomal RNA is filed under the name uncultured prokaryote. RNAcentral describes it as "partial 16S ribosomal RNA". It matches the Rfam family "Bacterial small subunit ribosomal RNA", at positions 525 to 777 of the family's 1533-position model. The record is from RNAcentral.
ACGAAGGACCCGAGCGUUAUCCGGAUUUAUUGGGUUUAAAGGGUGCGUAGGCGGACUUUCAAGUCAGUGGUGAAAGCCCAUCGCUCAACGAUGGAAUCGCCAUUGAUACUGUUGGUCUUGAGUACGGUUGAAGUGGGCGGAAUGUGUCAUGUAGCGGUGAAAUGCUUAGAUAUGACACAGAACACCUAUUGCGAAGGCAGCUCGCUAAGCCGUAACUGACGCUGAGGCACGAAAGUGUGGGUAGCAAACAGGA